UGAAUUUGGUGCUGGGUGGCGAGGUGGUGUUGGGGGAAGAGCUAGGCUAAGGAGAGCUUCCUCUUGCUCUGCCCCUUCCCAUCUCAAAUGGCCGCUUCCUGGGGAGAUGGGUUCGUUGGGAGGCUAACUACAACGUUACAGUGAGGACGAGGAAUCCUCUUUAGUCCCGUAGGUAUUUGCUGCCAGGCCGCAGCGUUGAUUUCAGAAAUUGUAUUUAAAAAAGGAAAAAGAAAGGAAAUCCGUAUUCUUUAACAUACUCUCUUUUCUCGGAGAGUAGAUGUAGGAGCUUCAGCAGUGCCCUUCCUCCCGAAAGGCUUCCCAGUGUCUGCUCAGACACUGAGGAGGAAAAUAGAGGAGAGCCACCCGAUAUAAAUAAAGGCAAGAAGGGGUUAUGGAUUAAGGGAAAACCACUACUUCAAAAAUUGGUGCUCUCUACAAACCGGUUAAGGGUUUGGGACCUGCAGGUGCUGCCUCCACCUGUGUGCGUUGCAGUCGUGCCUGUUGCCACUGAGCAAAACAGGGAGAGCUGCUUUGUCGAACGCGGCGUGUUAAAGCACGUGCCACUGCCUGGAAGAAAAGCACGGACUUCCCUCGUGUGGGACUUCUUCCCUAGCCAUGUGUGGUUUACCUGAUGGUUUCCCAUAAGCUGUGAAUGUUUAAAAGAAAAAAACCAACAAAACCCAAGACCAACGUUGAGAGUGGUGAGGCAGAUCCUCACCUGGGGACUCAGAAUCAGCGGUGACAUCACCAUGCGAAGCAUUGUGUGCGCUUCGGGUCGGGGCUGCUGCGAGCCUCGCAGCGGGGAGGGAGAGCGGAUGCGGGGUGCCUCUGUGUCAGCCCUCUGCCCUGGUGGCUUCGUGAGCACUGAGAGUUUGACUCCUGUGUUGCCAGCUUUCGCUUCCGCACCUGCGGUGUGGCAGAGCCAGCGAGCUGCUUCCUCAGCUGGAGGAGGAAGAGGAGUGACCUCAACGUUGCCGAGCUUUGGAGAAAGUGAAGCAGAGAAAACCACACAUAACCACUGAUAGCUGGACCCCAAACUGCCACAGACUGACAGUGAUGCCCACUGGAUAUCUCCUGAGACCCUGCUGCCUUCUGCCUGCUCCAGCAGAAGUCCCGUUUGAAUUAGCCAGCAGGUCCCUCUGAGUGGCUUUGCUAAAACUCCCGCCGUAGGAAGUAUCCUACGGGAGCCAAGUUGCUAAACUGAUGGGUGGGUUUCCCUUAACCCCCUCACCCCUGACUUCCCAGCUCCUGACGACACUGCCAACGUGUGCAGUGUCACCGUGUGCCAACUAGGUGCCAGCUGCCAUGGUUUGUAUAUUGUAAAAGGAGUGAUUUGGGACUCGUGAGCACUGAGAACAGGUUAGCAAUUGCUUAAGAGCUUUACUUGUGUCGCUCUGGGGCAGGGAGAUGGGUGAAACAUCUUAGGCUUGAAAGUGAUUCCCUGCAGAGUGACGUGCUCAGAUCUGCACAACAGAUCUGUCGUUCUGGUCACCUUAUUAGAUCCCUGCUUGAGAGGGUGCUUGCAAGAAUCCAUUCCUCUUCACCUUGAUGUGUCAAGCUAAAGAGAAAUCCGUGCCGAAGCACUGUCUGAUCAGACGCGUGCCUCGGUUCAGGAUUGUUCUUUGACAGCUGCAGAAACACCAGGACAGUCGGCGCCUUCAGGAACAGAUUAAUUUGAUCUUGAGGCUGUCAUAAAACAGGUCCCUGAAGUUUGAAGACUCUUCCAAUAGUUUGGGCCAGCAAGGAGCAGCUGUAGCUGGCGGCUGCGGUAACUCGGGGCUCAGAGUCUCAGAGAGCGUGGUGAAAGGUGACCCCCAGCUGGCUGCUGGAGGAAGCUGAGGCAGCGUUCAGCUCUAACCUUUGCCUUCUUGGCUGGCAUCUUUGCACUCCUGCUGUCAGUGGGUGUUGAGUGUCCUUCCCCCCAGCCUCAGAACGUGCCCUCAGAUGUAGGCAGCGUUUAGCAGCUAGAAUUCACUCCAAUAUAAAGAGUACAAAUCAUGCGUUUUCUGCUUUUGCUUUGGAACUCUUAGCUUGAGGUUUUCCUGCAGGCCAUGAGGUUUCUUGCAGCAGCAGGGAGGAGUUCUGUUAGCAAGAGGCUGUUCUGUGCUUCGACUGUGGGAAGAUGAAUGGUUCCCUGUGCACCGUUAAAUAGAACUUGACACCUAGCACACCGCACUUGCAGCCUGUGGGGUGCUUUAACAAGCAGGUAAAUCAGCAGAGGCUGUUUUGCAGCCGGGGUGAUGCUGGCUGAUUAAAAAGCAGGGGCAGAACA
Molecule: non-coding RNA, 2272 nt
Organism: Anas platyrhynchos (mallard)
Lineage: Eukaryota; Metazoa; Chordata; Aves; Anseriformes; Anatidae
Source: RefSeq, a predicted model, not a curated record